RNAcentral lists this ribosomal RNA (269 nucleotides) under uncultured bacterium. RNAcentral describes it as "partial 16S ribosomal RNA". It matches the Rfam family "Bacterial small subunit ribosomal RNA", at positions 793 to 1055 of the family's 1533-position model. The record is from RNAcentral.
GUCAUAGCCCUAAACGAUGAUUGCUUGGUGUGAUCGGUACCCAAUCCGAUCGUGCCGCAGCUAACGCGAUAAGGCAAUCCGCCUGGGGGAGUACGGUCGCAAGGCUGGAAACUCAAAAGGGAAUUGACGGGGGGCCCGCACAAGCGGUGGAGCAUGUGGUUCAAUUCGACGCAACGCGAAGAACCUUACCUGGGGCUCGAAGCGCAGUGGACCGGGGUGGAAACAUCCCUUUCGCAAGGACUGCUGCGUAGGUGCUGCAUGGCUGUCGU